RNAcentral lists this ribosomal RNA (373 nucleotides) under archaeon A8.96.42. Its description in RNAcentral is "bacterial SSU rRNA". It matches the Rfam family "Archaeal small subunit ribosomal RNA", at positions 59 to 435 of the family's 1478-position model. The record is from RNAcentral. Lineage: Archaea; Methanobacteriati; Methanobacteriota; Methanomicrobia; Methanosarcinales; Methanosarcinaceae.
CGAAUGUAGCAAUACAUGGCGUACUGCUCAGUAACACGUGGAUAACCUGCCCUUGGGAUCGGCAUAACCCCGGGAAACUGGGGAUAAUUCCGGAUAACGCAUAUUUGCUGGAAUGCUUUAUGCGUCAAAAGGAUUCGUCUGCCCAAGGAUGGGUCUGCGGCCUAUCAGGUAGUAGUGGGUGUAAUGUACCUACUAGCCAGCGACGGGUACGGGUUGUGAGAGCAAGAGCCCGGAGAUGGAUUCUGAGACAUGAAUCCAGGCCCUACGGGGCGCAGCAGGCGCGAAAACUUUACAAUGCGGGAAACCGUGAUAAGGGGACACCGAGUGCCAGCAUCAUAUGCUGGCUGUCCGGAUGUGUAAAAUACAUCCGUUA